AGUGAACGCUGGCGGUAGGCCUAACACAUGCAAGUCGAACGGCAGCACAGUAAGAGCUUGCUCUUACGGGUGGCGAGUGGCGGACGGGUGAGGAAUACAUCGGAAUCUACUUUUUCGUGGGGGAUAACGUAGGGAAACUUACGCUAAUCCCGCAUACGACCUACGGGUGAAAGCAGGGGAUCUUCGGACAUUGCGUGAUUGAAUGAGCCGAUGUCGGAUUAGCUAGUUGGCGGGGUAAAGGCCCACCAAGGCGACGAUCCGUAGCUGGUCUGAGAGGAUGAUCAGCCACACUGGAACUGAGACACGGUCCAGACUCCUACGGGAGGCAGCAGUGGGGAAUAUUGGACAAUGGGCGCAAGCCUGAUCCAGCCAUGCCGCGUGUGUGAAGAAGGCCUUCGGGUUGUAAAGCCCUUUUGUUGGGGAAGAAAAGCAGCAGGUUAAUACCCCGCUGUUCUGACGGUACCCAAAGAAUAAGCACCGGCUAACUUCGUG
This 492-nucleotide ribosomal RNA is filed under the name uncultured bacterium. RNAcentral describes it as "partial 16S ribosomal RNA". It matches the Rfam family "Bacterial small subunit ribosomal RNA", at positions 29 to 507 of the family's 1533-position model. The record is from RNAcentral.